This is a small RNA of 79 nucleotides. It matches the Rfam family "RybB RNA". From Rfam's summary of the family: This ncRNA was identified in a large scale screen of E. coli. The record is from Rfam.
ACUGCCUUUUUUUGAUGUUCCCAAUUUGUGGAGCCCGAUAAUGUCGCCUUUUAGGUUUAAGAUUAUCGGUUUUUUAUUU